Molecule: ribosomal RNA, 468 nt
Filed under: uncultured bacterium
Lineage: Bacteria
Description: partial 16S ribosomal RNA
Rfam family: Bacterial small subunit ribosomal RNA
Source: RNAcentral
GACGAACGCUGGCGGCGUGCUUAACACAUGCAAGUCGAACGGAAAGGCCCUGCUUUUGUGGGGUGCUCGAGUGGCGAACGGGUGAGUAACACGUGAGUAACCUGCCCUUGACUUUGGGAUAACUUCAAGAAACUGGGGCUAAUACCGGAUAGGAGCUCCUGCUGCAUGGUGGGGGUUGGAAAGUUUCGGCGGUUGGGGAUGGACUCGCGGCUUAUCAGCUUGUUGGUGGGGUAGUGGCUUACCAAGGCUUUGACGGGUAGCCGGCCUGAGAGGGUGACCGGCCACAUUGGGACUGAGAUACGGCCCAGACUCCUACGGGAGGCAGCAGUGGGGAAUAUUGCACAAUGGGCGGAAGCCUAAUGCAGCAACGCCGCGUGCGGGAUGACGGCCUUCGGGUUGUAAACCGCUUUCGCCUGUGACGAAGCGUGAGUGACGGUAAUGGGUAAAGAAGCACCGGCUAACUACGUG